Molecule: ribosomal RNA, 305 nt
Filed under: uncultured bacterium
Lineage: Bacteria
Description: partial 16S ribosomal RNA
Rfam family: Bacterial small subunit ribosomal RNA
Source: RNAcentral
ACAGCAGCCGCCGCGGUAAUACGUAUGUCACAAGCGUUAUCCGGAUUUAUUGGGCGUAAAGCGCGUCUAGGUGGUUAUGUAAGUCUGAUGUGAAAAUGCAGGGCUCAACUCUGUAUUGCGUUGGAAACUGUGUAACUAGAGUACUGGAGAGGUAAGCGGAACUACAAGUGUAGAGGUGAAAUUCGUAGAUAUUUGUAGGAAUGCCGAUGGGGAAGCCAGCUUACUGGACAGAUACUGACGCUAAAGCGCGAAAGCGUGGGUAGCAAACAGGAUUAGAUACCCCUGUAGUCCCUGUCUCUUAUACC